AAAACAACACUAAAGAUCGUUGGCUUAGUAUAUAUAACAUUUUCCGAAAAACUAAAUAUUUUCGUAGGGGUUAACACAUAGAUUUUGAGAAAAAUUCAAAAAUAUGAAAAUACUGUUUUAAUUUAUAGUUGCAUCAUUCACUAACAUAUGAUGAAGGUCAAAGUGGUUUGGAACCUUUGUUGUCUCCGUUUUUCUAGAGAGUAGUGAUUUUAUAGUGGUUAGUCCACCAAUUUAGGGAGUGUUAUGAAGUUUUGCUGAAUAAAUUGA
Brassica rapa (field mustard) is the source of this 267-nucleotide long non-coding RNA. RefSeq lists it as uncharacterized. The record is from RefSeq and is a predicted model, not a curated record. NCBI's taxonomy places the organism in Eukaryota, Viridiplantae, Streptophyta, Magnoliopsida, Brassicales, Brassicaceae.